RNAcentral lists this ribosomal RNA (2915 nucleotides) under Escherichia coli. Its description in RNAcentral is "partial 23S ribosomal RNA". It matches the Rfam family "Bacterial large subunit ribosomal RNA". Lineage: Bacteria; Pseudomonadati; Pseudomonadota; Gammaproteobacteria; Enterobacterales; Enterobacteriaceae. The record is from RNAcentral.
GGGUUGUGAGGUUAAGCGACUAAGCGUACACGGUGGAUGCCCUGGCAGUCAGAGGCGAUGAAGGACGUGCUAAUCUGCGAUAAGCGUCGGUAAGGUGAUAUGAACCGUUAUAACCGGCGAUUUCCGAAUGGGGAAACCCAGUGUGUUUCGACACACUAUCAUUAACUGAAUCCAUAGGUUAAUGAGGCGAACCGGGGGAACUGAAACAUCUAAGUACCCCGAGGAAAAGAAAUCAACCGAGAUUCCCCCAGUAGCGGCGAGCGAACGGGGAGCAGCCCAGAGCCUGAAUCAGUGUGUGUGUUAGUGGAAGCGUCUGGAAAGGCGCGCGAUACAGGGUGACAGCCCCGUACACAAAAAUGCACAUACUGUGAGCUCGAUGAGUAGGGCGGGACACGUGGUAUCCUGUCUGAAUAUGGGGGGACCAUCCUCCAAGGCUAAAUACUCCUGACUGACCGAUAGUGAACCAGUACCGUGAGGGAAAGGCGAAAAGAACCCCGGCGAGGGGAGUGAAAAAGAACCUGAAACCGUGUACGUACAAGCAGUGGGAGCACGCUUCGGCGUGUGACUGCGUACCUUUUGUAUAAUGGGUCAGCGACUUAUAUUCUGUAGCAAGGUUAACCGAAUAGGGGAGCCGAAGGGAAACCGAGUCUUAACUGGGCGUUAAGUUGCAGGGUAUAGACCCGAAACCCGGUGAUCUAGCCAUGGGCAGGUUGAAGGUUGGGUAACACUAACUGGAGGACCGAACCGACUAAUGUUGAAAAAUUAGCGGAUGACUUGUGGCUGGGGGUGAAAGGCCAAUCAAACCGGGAGAUAGCUGGUUCUCCCCGAAAGCUAUUUAGGUAGCGCCUCGUGAAUUCAUCUCCGGGGGUAGAGCACUGUUUCGGCAAGGGGGUCAUCCCGACUUACCAACCCGAUGCAAACUGCGAAUACCGGAGAAUGUUAUCACGGGAGACACACGGCGGGUGCUAACGUCCGUCGUGAAGAGGGAAACAACCCAGACCGCCAGCUAAGGUCCCAAAGUCAUGGUUAAGUGGGAAACGAUGUGGGAAGGCCCAGACAGCCAGGAUGUUGGCUUAGAAGCAGCCAUCAUUUAAAGAAAGCGUAAUAGCUCACUGGUCGAGUCGGCCUGCGCGGAAGAUGUAACGGGGCUAAACCAUGCACCGAAGCUGCGGCAGCGACACUAUGUGUUGUUGGGUAGGGGAGCGUUCUGUAAGCCUGUGAAGGUGUGCUGUGAGGCAUGCUGGAGGUAUCAGAAGUGCGAAUGCUGACAUAAGUAACGAUAAAGCGGGUGAAAAGCCCGCUCGCCGGAAGACCAAGGGUUCCUGUCCAACGUUAAUCGGGGCAGGGUGAGUCGACCCCUAAGGCGAGGCCGAAAGGCGUAGUCGAUGGGAAACAGGUUAAUAUUCCUGUACUUGGUGUUACUGCGAAGGGGGGACGGAGAAGGCUAUGUUGGCCGGGCGACGGUUGUCCCGGUUUAAGCGUGUAGGCUGGUUUUCCAGGCAAAUCCGGAAAAUCAAGGCUGAGGCGUGAUGACGAGGCACUACGGUGCUGAAGCAACAAAUGCCCUGCUUCCAGGAAAAGCCUCUAAGCAUCAGGUAACAUUAAAUCGUACCCCAAACCGACACAGGUGGUCAGGUAGAGAAUACCAAGGCGCUUGAGAGAACUCGGGUGAAGGAACUAGGCAAAAUGGUGCCGUAACUUCGGGAGAAGGCACGCUGAUAUGUAGGUGAAGUCCCUCGCGGAUGGAGCUGAAAUCAGUCGAAGAUACCAGCUGGCUGCAACUGUUUAUUAAAAACACAGCACUGUGCAAACACGAAAGUGGACGUAUACGGUGUGACGCCUGCCCGGUGCCGGAAGGUUAAUUGAUGGGGUUAGCGGUAACGCGAAGCUCUUGAUCGAAGCCCCGGUAAACGGCGGCCGUAACUAUAACGGUCCUAAGGUAGCGAAAUUCCUUGUCGGGUAAGUUCCGACCUGCACGAAUGGCGUAAUGAUGGCCAGGCUGUCUCCACCCGAGACUCAGUGAAAUUGAACUCGCUGUGAAGAUGCAGUGUACCCGCGGCAAGACGGAAAGACCCCGUGAACCUUUACUAUAGCUUGACACUGAACAUUGAGCCUUGAUGUGUAGGAUAGGUGGGAGGCUUUGAAGUGUGGACGCCAGUCUGCAUGGAGCCGACCUUGAAAUACCACCCUUUAAUGUUUGAUGUUCUAACGUUGACCCGUGAUCCGGGUUGCGGACAGUGUCUGGUGGGUAGUUUGACUGGGGCGGUCUCCUCCUAAAGAGUAACGGAGGAGCACGAAGGUUGGCUAAUCCUGGUCGGACAUCAGGAGGUUAGUGCAAUGGCAUAAGCCAGCUUGACUGCGAGCGUGACGGCGCGAGCAGGUGCGAAAGCAGGUCAUAGUGAUCCGGUGGUUCUGAAUGGAAGGGCCAUCGCUCAACGGAUAAAAGGUACUCCGGGGAUAACAGGCUGAUACCGCCCAAGAGUUCAUAUCGACGGCGGUGUUUGGCACCUCGAUGUCGGCUCAUCACAUCCUGGGGCUGAAGUAGGUCCCAAGGGUAUGGCUGUUCGCCAUUUAAAGUGGUACGCGAGCUGGGUUUAGAACGUCGUGAGACAGUUCGGUCCCUAUCUGCCGUGGGCGCUGGAGAACUGAGGGGGGCUGCUCCUAGUACGAGAGGACCGGAGUGGACGCAUCACUGGUGUUCGGGUUGUCAUGCCAAUGGCACUGCCCGGUAGCUAAAUGCGGAAGAGAUAAGUGCUGAAAGCAUCUAAGCACGAAACUUGCCCCGAGAUGAGUUCUCCCUGACUCCUUGAGAGUCCUGAAGGAACGUUGAAGACGACGACGUUGAUAGGCCGGGUGUGUAAGCGCAGCGAUGCGUUGAGCUAACCGGUACUAAUGAACCGUGAGGCUUAACCUUA